RNAcentral lists this transfer RNA (72 nucleotides) under Dendronephthya gigantea. Its description in RNAcentral is "tRNA-Cys". It matches the Rfam family "tRNA". From Rfam's summary of the family: Transfer RNA (tRNA) molecules are approximately 80 nucleotides in length. Their secondary structure includes four short double-helical elements and three loops (D, anti-codon, and T loops). Lineage: Eukaryota; Metazoa; Cnidaria; Anthozoa; Malacalcyonacea; Nephtheidae. The record is from RNAcentral.
GGGAGUGUAGCUCAGUGGUAGAGCAUUCGACUGCAGAUCGAUAGGUCAGUGGUUCAACUUCGCUCGCUCCCU